GGAGAGAUGCUCGAGUGGUUGAAGAGGCACGCCUGGAAAGCGUGUAUACCCCUAAAGGGUAUCGGGGGUUCGAAUCCCCCUCUCUCCG
RNAcentral lists this transfer RNA (88 nucleotides) under Bacteroides sp. RNAcentral describes it as "tRNA-Ser". It matches the Rfam family "tRNA". Rfam says of the family: Transfer RNA (tRNA) molecules are approximately 80 nucleotides in length. Their secondary structure includes four short double-helical elements and three loops (D, anti-codon, and T loops). Lineage: Bacteria; Pseudomonadati; Bacteroidota; Bacteroidia; Bacteroidales; Bacteroidaceae. RNAcentral also lists the same sequence under 9 other names. The record is from RNAcentral.